AGGGAAGGGAGGUGGCGCAAGCAACGCAAACCAAUGGGAAGUGGAUCUCGGGGAGCAAGCGGGACCCGGAGAGGGAAGGAAAGGCCUGGCGGAGAGGGCAGGGCAGAGAACUAGGGGAAAGGUCGUGCACUGGAGAGAAGCGCGCCCGGAGUUUAUAGAUCCUCCCAGUCCUAUAAACGCUUCCCGGUAUCCCCGGAUCUGCUCUCCCUCUCCAGAUCCCCCACUUCUUCCCGGCCUCUCCAAGUCGCGGUUCAUGUCCUUAUGUCCUUCCUGAGCCUCUAUGCAACCCCGUGCCUGCGUCCGCACGACCCCCCAGGAAAGCACGCGGAGCCGCAGCGCUAAAAAAGCCGUUCCUUUAUUCUGCCCCAGGCAGGCUGCAGUCACAGACACACGGGGAAUCCACUGAUGGCGUCGGUGCUCUGCAUGAUCAUGUCUGCCAGCAGAAAGCAGAAGCCUGGGGGGACGGGGGCGCGGGGCGGGGAGAGGAAGGUGGGCCCUGGGGCGGAUGGCCGGGAGGGCCCCGGGGACUGGGGUUUGGGGCUCCAAGGGGGUCUCUGCCGGGUCUGCGGGCGUCGUUAGUGUGUUGGGGAGUCCCUGAGAGGUCCCCGGGGUUUCCUGGGAGGGCAGCUGGGGAGCCUCUAGGGUGAGGGUCUUCUGGGCAGUCUCCUCCACCCUCUUCCCGCUGUCCAGGUUACCCGCGAGAAUUGAGAAGGGUAAGGCCAGCCACCCAGAAAAAUAGGACCAAGACAAGAAGACGUUGUUCUUCCACGCAUUCUUCACCGUGUAGCCUAUCAAGGCGGUCAGCAGCAGCAGUCCUGGGCCCCGCCCAGCCGCAAGAUGAGCUAGCUGGGCCUAGUCGGGCUGCACCCAGGCCACGCCCCUUCAGACCCGCCCCCUUCCAUCAGACCACGCCUAUCGCCUCUCUGCCCGCCUCUGGCCCAGGCCCCUUCCUGCGCCUCCCGCGCUGAACUCUGUCUCGAGCCCCGCCCACCUCUCUCGGCUUCUUCCAGCCCCGCCCCUCGGAUCCCGGCCAAGUACCUCAAGCCCCUCCUCUGGUGACCAGACCCCUCCAUCACCCAGGGCCCGCCCCUGCCUGCCGGCCUGGGGCGGGCUGCCGUCUCACCGCCGAGGAAGAGGAAGGCGCUCGUGGUCUGGCCCCGCAGCGACUCGCCCUCGUGGCACCGAAUCCGCAGUCCCAUCACCAUGCCCACCACGCCGACACCCACCGCCAGCACCAUGCACGCCCCAGUCACCGCCAGCGUGGCUGGGGAGAGCGGGCGCAUCAGCUCCCGCGGGCGUGGCUGGGGAGAGCGGGCACCGCCCCAGUCGCUACGGGUUCGGCCGCAACCGGAAGCUCUCCUGUCUCCUGCCCCCAACCCGGUGUGUGGCCAGGAGCCGAGCUCCCCCCGACCAGGAGUCAGGCGUUUGGACGGAGACUUGGAGGUCACAUCAGGACCUGCGGUUACUGCCGCUACCGGGACGGGGAGGGGGUCGGGGACAAGCCCACAAGUCGAGGGGCGGGGUUCGUGGCGGCCUCGGCCGACCAGGGACAGCUGCAACUGAGCCCGGAGUGGAAGGGGUGGCGUCUCGCCAUGGGCCCAGCUGUGUGUCCCGAACCCUGGGUAUCUGAAAUGCCCUCUGACAUCUGGGCGGGCGGAGCCUCACUCUGGCAGGGGAUGCUGGAGCAGAUGCCAUGGUUGCAUUCCUGCCACAGGCCACUGUGGCCCUCUUGUUGGCGGGUCCAGUAGUUGGUGGCCGUGGAGAGCACCAUGAGGACGUUGGCCACGAGGCUGAGCAGAAUGCCCCCACUCUGGAGCCUCCGUUUCACCCCCAUGCCACUGAGGCUGCAGCCAGGGGCCACAAAGGCAGGAUGGCCCAGGCCCUUCCUACCCGGAGGCCCCCAGCUUAGGAGCCCGCUUCCUCCACACUCUUCCCCUAGUACUCCUUCCUGAGGUCCUUGCUUCUGGGGACCUGAAGACCCCCCUCCCUCAAUAACCCUGCCUGAGGACCCACAACCUCCUCCCUCCAGACCUCGUUUCCCUUACUGGGGACCUUGAGACUUCCCCUGAGAGGCCUCUGAGACCUUCACAGGCUUUGCUUUGAAGAACCUGUCUUCCCAGAGACCUCCCCCAACAGCAGAACACCCCUUCAGCCUGUUCAAUGUCCUCCCCAGACACCCCUCCACACAUGCCCACCUAAGUGACUCACACUCAGCACCCCAGGGCUCCUUAGACACAGAGACCAGAGAGAUGGGGGGAGGGAGGCUGGGUCUCUGUGAGGCUGGGGAUUCCAGAACCCCCUCCCCCAGUGGCUGUUUAAAGGGAUAAUCACUCUCCCCAGCACCAUACACAUACACCCCCGCAGCUCUCAACUGAGUGACUGCUUAGAUUCAGACCGCAGCUUUGGGGGCCAUUACAUGGUAGGCCAAGUCCUUCUUUUAUCAUUAUUUUUUGAGACAGAGUCUUGCUCUGUCGCCCAGGCUGGAGUGCAGUGGCGCGAUCUCGGCUCACUGCAACCUCCACCUCCUGGGUUCAAGCAAUUCUUCUGCCUCAGCCUCACAAGUAGCUGGAACUGCAGGCACGCACUACCACAUCUGGCUAAUUUUUGUAUUUUUAGUAGAGAUGGGGUUUCACCAUAUUGGCUAGGGUGGUCUCGGACUCCUGACCUCGUGAUCUGCCUGCCUCAGCCUCCCAAAGUGCUGGGAUUACGGGCGUGAGCCAUCUCUCUCUCCCAGGCUGGAGUGCAGUGGCACCAUCACAACUCACUGCAGCCUUGAACUCCUGGGCUGAAGGAAACCUCCUGCCUCAGCCUCCCGAGUAGCUGGGACUACAGGCAUGUGCCACCACACCUGGCUAGUUUUCUUAAGAUUUUUUAUAGAGAUGGGGUCUUGCUAUGUUGCCCAAGCUGAUCUCAAACUCCUGGGCUCAAACGAUCCUCCUACCUCCGCCUCCUAAAAUGCUGACAUUAUGGGUGUGAGCCACCACUCCCAGCCCUUUCUUAGAAACUUUCCCUUGGCCGGGCGCGCAGUGGCUCACACCUGUAAUCCCAGCACUUUAGGAGGCCGAGACAGGCAGAUCACCUGAAGUCAGGGGUUUGAGAGAAGCCUGACCAACAUGGCAAAACCCCGUCUCUACUAAAAAUACAAAAAUUAGCCAGGCUAGCCGGGGGUGAUGGCGGGUGCCUAUAAUCCCAGCUACUUGGGAUGCGAGGCAGGAGAAUCACUUGAACCCGGGAGGUGGAGGUUGCAGUUAGCUGAGAUCGUGCCACUGCAUUCUAGCCUGGGCAACAGAGCAAGGCUCCAUCUCAAAAAAAAAAAAAACGACAAAA
Symphalangus syndactylus (siamang) is the source of this 3327-nucleotide long non-coding RNA. RefSeq lists it as uncharacterized. NCBI's taxonomy places the organism in Eukaryota, Metazoa, Chordata, Mammalia, Primates, Hylobatidae. The record is from RefSeq and is a predicted model, not a curated record.